AGCUGCAUGUAUUAAUGUAUUUUGCAUUGUGCAAUAUGCAUGCAUGUGCAUAGCUGCAUAAUAUUUGCUCGUAUCAGUUUUUUACCGUACUUGUUCGAAACAUGACGUAAACAGAGUUGGAAAUGAGAGUUUAAUUCUAAAAACAAUGAUGAAUGGAUGAAAUAUUUAGUCAAGACUGGAAUUUAGAUGGAAUAUUCAACUACAUAUUCAUAAAAACUAAAUAAAAGUGCUCCUACAGAACAAGAUCACCCAAGUAAGUGUAAAAAGUAAUUCAUCCUUUAAGACAUUUUAUGUGCUGUAUUUAGAUUUUAUAGAUAAAACAACUGGAAAAGAGAACGAACUUGCACUGGUUGAAUAAACAAGAAGGCCAAGAUGGCCCGAGGUCGCUCACGUGAGAAACACACCAUAACAGUGUAAAUAUGUUUGACCUAGUGAUUUCAUGGAAACAAAUAUUCUAGCCAAUUUUCAUUUAGAUCGGACCAAAAAUGUGGUCUCUUGAGUUUAAACAAGUAUUUUCUUAGAUAUGACCUAGUGACCUAGUUUUUGACCCAAAAUGACCCAUAUUCAAACUUGACCUAGAUUUUAUCAGUGCAAUCAUUCUAACCAUAUUUCAUGAAGAUCAGUUGAAAAAUACAGUCUCUAGCGCAAACACAAGGCUUUUCUUUGAUUUGACCUAGUGACAUAGUUUUUAACCUAAGAUAGCUCAUAUUCAAACUUGGCCUAGAUUUCUGACCAAACUUCAUGAAGACCAACUGAAAAAUACAAAAAAUACAGUCUCUAUCGCAUAACAAAGGGUUUUCUUUGAUUUGACCUAGUGACAUAGCUUUUGAUCUCAAAUGACCCAUAUUCAAACUCGACCUAGAUUCAUCAAAAUUAUCAUCCUGACUAAAUUUCGUGAAGACCAGUUGAAAAAUACAAAAAAAUAUACAGUCUCUAUCGCAUACACAAGGGUUUUCUUUGAUUUGUCCUAGUGACCUAGUUUUUGACCCCAGAUGAUCCAUAUUGUAAUUCGACCUAGAUUUCAUUAAGGCAAUCAUUCUGACAUAAUUUUAUGAAGAUCAGUUGAAAAAUACAGUCUCUAUCGCAUACAAAAUGUUUUUCUUUGAUUUGAACUAGUGACCUAGGUUUUUACCCCAGAAAUUCAAACUUAGCCUAGAUUUCAUUAAGGCAAUCAUUCUGACCAAAUUUCAUGAAAAUCAAUUGAAAAAUACAGCCUCUAUCGUAUACACAAGGUUUUUCUUUGAUUUGACCUAACGGCCUAGGUUUUGAUCUCAGAUAAUCCAUUUUCAAAUUUGGCCUAGAUUUCAUCAAGACAAUCAUUCUGACCAAAUUUCAUGAAGAUCAAUUGAAACAUACAGCCUCUAUCGCAUACACAAAAUUUUUUCUUUGAUUUGAUCUAGUGACCUAGUUUUUGUCCCCAGUUAACUCAUGUUCAAACUUGACCUAGAUAUCAUCAAGGCAAUCAUUCUGACAUAAUUUUAUGAAGUUCAAUUGAAAAAUACGGCCUCUAUCGCAUACAAAAUGUUUUCCUUUGAUUUGACCUUGUGACCUAGGUUUUGACCCCAGAUAGCCCAUAUUCAAAACUUGGCCUAGAUAUUAUCAAGGCAAUCAUUCUGACCAAAUUUCAUGAAGAUCAAUUGAAAAAUACAGCCUCUAUCGCAUACACAAGGUUUUCCUUUGAUUUAACCUAGUGACCUAGUUUUUGACUCCAGAUAACCCAUUUUCAAACUUAAUCUAGAUUUUAUCAAGAUAAUCAUUUUGACAAAAUUUCAUGAAGAUCAGUUGAAAAAUGCAGCCUCUAUCGCAUACACAAUGUUUUUCUUUGAAUUGACCUAGUGACCUUUUUUGACCCCAGAUGACCCAUUUUCAAACUUGGCCUAAAUUGUAUCAAGACAAUCAUUCUGACCUAAAUUCAUGAAGAUCAACU
Molecule: long non-coding RNA, 1927 nt
Organism: Mercenaria mercenaria
Lineage: Eukaryota; Metazoa; Mollusca; Bivalvia; Venerida; Veneridae
Exons: 3
Source: RefSeq, a predicted model, not a curated record